UGGGGAAUAUUGCACAAUGGGCGAAAGCCUGAUGCAGCAACGCCGCGUGAGUGAUGAAGGCCUUCGGGUUGUAAAGCUCUGUCUUUUGGGACGAUAAUGACGGUACCAAAGGAGGAAGCCACGGCUAACUACGUGCCAGCAGCCGCGGUAAUACGUAGGUGGCAAGCGUUGUCCGGAUUUACUGGGCGUAAAGGAUGCGUAGGCGGAUUUUUAAGUGAGAUGUGAAAUACCCGGGCGUUAACUUGGGUGCUGCAUUUCAAACUGGGAAUCUAGAGUGCGGGAGAGGAGAAUGGAAUUCCUAGUGUAGCGGUGAAAUGCGUAGAGAUUAGGAAGAACACCAGUGGCGAAGGCGAUUCUCUGGACCGUAACUGACGCUGAGGCGUGAAAGCGUGGGUAGCAAACAGGAUUAGAUACCCUGGUAGUCCACGCCGUAAACGAUGAGUACUAGGUGUAGGAGGUAUCGACCCCUUCUGUGCCGCAGUUAACACAAUAAGUACUCCGCCUGGGAAGUACGAUCGCAAGAUUAAAAACUC
RNAcentral lists this ribosomal RNA (533 nucleotides) under uncultured bacterium. Its description in RNAcentral is "partial 16S ribosomal RNA". It matches the Rfam family "Bacterial small subunit ribosomal RNA", at positions 355 to 902 of the family's 1533-position model. The record is from RNAcentral.